This 465-nucleotide ribosomal RNA is filed under the name Vreelandella stevensii. RNAcentral describes it as "partial 16S ribosomal RNA". It matches the Rfam family "Bacterial small subunit ribosomal RNA", at positions 338 to 795 of the family's 1533-position model. Lineage: Bacteria; Pseudomonadati; Pseudomonadota; Gammaproteobacteria; Oceanospirillales; Halomonadaceae. The record is from RNAcentral.
CCUACGGGUGGCAGCAGUGGGGAAUAUUGGACAAUGGGGGCAACCCUGAUCCAGCCAUGCCGCGUGUGUGAAGAAGGCCCUCGGGUUGUAAAGCACUUUCAGUGAGGAAGAACGCCUGGUGGUUAAUACCCAUCAGGAAAGACAUCACUCACAGAAGAAGCACCGGCUAACUCCGUGCCAGCAGCCGCGGUAAUACGGAGGGUGCGAGCGUUAAUCGGAAUUACUGGGCGUAAAGCGCGCGUAGGUGGCUUGAUAAGCCGGUUGUGAAAGCCCCGGGCUCAACCUGGGAACGGCAUCCGGAACUGUCAAGCUAGAGUGCAGGAGAGGAAGGUAGAAUUCCCGGUGUAGCUGUGAAAUGCGUAGAGAUCGGGAGGAAUACCAGUGGCGAAGGCGGCCUUCUGGACUGACACUGACACUGAGGUGCGAAAGCGUGGGUAGCAAACAGGAUUAGAUACCCCUGUAGUC